GGAUGUGAGGACCACCUGGCUGCAACAUCUGUCACUCCAUUGAUAGCCAGGGUUGAUUCAACUGAUCUGCCUAGCAAGGUGAGUGUCACUUUCCUCCUUCACCACUCAACAUAUGUCCCUCCCAACAUUUCAUCCUUCCUCAAAGAGGACAACCUUCCCCAAUAGAGGAGGACCAUUUGGUCAAGAGUAUAUAAGUAGCUGCACUCCCCUGCUAGAACCUCCAAGCUUUCAAGAAUGUCCAAAAUGCUGGGCACAGUGGUGCAUGCAUGUAAUCUCAGUAACU
This 283-nucleotide small nuclear RNA is filed under the name Marmota monax (woodchuck). It matches the Rfam family "7SK RNA", at positions 1 to 286 of the family's 331-position model. Rfam says of the family: 7SK was discovered as an abundant small nuclear RNA in the mid-70s but a possible function has only recently been suggested. Lineage: Eukaryota; Metazoa; Chordata; Mammalia; Rodentia; Sciuridae. The record is from RNAcentral.